Molecule: transfer RNA, 66 nt
Filed under: Andrena nigroaenea
Lineage: Eukaryota; Metazoa; Arthropoda; Insecta; Hymenoptera; Andrenidae
Description: tRNA-Leu
Source: RNAcentral
ACUUCCUUGGCAGAAUAGUGCGUUAAAUUUAGAAUUUAAAAUAUGUAAAUAAGUUUAUAGGUAGUA